This 492-nucleotide ribosomal RNA is filed under the name Cytobacillus firmus. RNAcentral's name for it is "bacterial SSU rRNA". It matches the Rfam family "Bacterial small subunit ribosomal RNA", at positions 38 to 513 of the family's 1533-position model. The record is from RNAcentral. Lineage: Bacteria; Bacillati; Bacillota; Bacilli; Caryophanales; Bacillaceae.
GGCGGCGUGCCUAAUACAUGCAAGUCGAGCGGACAGAUGGGAGCUUGCUCCCUGAAGUCAGCGGCGGACGGGUGAGUAACACGUGGGCAACCUGCCUGUAAGACUGGGAUAACUCCGGGAAACCGGGGCUAAUACCGGAUAAUUCUUUCCCUCACAUGAGGGAAAGCUGAAAGAUGGUUUCGGCUAUCACUUACAGAUGGGCCCGCGGCGCAUUAGCUAGUUGGUGAGGUAACGGCUCACCAAGGCAACGAUGCGUAGCCGACCUGAGAGGGUGAUCGGCCACACUGGGACUGAGACACGGCCCAGACUCCUACGGGAGGCAGCAGUAGGGAAUCUUCCGCAAUGGACGAAAGUCUGACGGAGCAACGCCGCGUGAGUGAUGAAGGUUUUCGGAUCGUAAAACUCUGUUGUUAGGGAAGAACAAGUACCGGAGUAACUGCCGGUACCUUGACGGUACCUAACCAGAAAGCCACGGCUAACUACGUGCCAGCA